GACGAACCGUACGAACGUUAUUCGGAAUCACUGGGCUUAAAGGGUGCGUAGGCGGCGCGGCAAGUUGGGUGUGAAAGCCCUCGGCUUAACCGAGGAAUGGCGCCCAAUACUGCCGUGCUCGAGGGAGAUAUAGGUGAGCGGAACUUAGGGUGGAGCGGUGAAAUGCGUUGAUAUCCUAAGGAACACCGGUGGCGAAAGCGGCUCACUGGGUCUCUUCUGACGCUGAGGCACGAAAGCUAGGGUAGCGAACGGG
This 253-nucleotide ribosomal RNA is filed under the name uncultured bacterium. RNAcentral's name for it is "partial 16S ribosomal RNA". It matches the Rfam family "Bacterial small subunit ribosomal RNA", at positions 524 to 776 of the family's 1533-position model. The record is from RNAcentral.